Molecule: ribosomal RNA, 497 nt
Filed under: uncultured bacterium
Lineage: Bacteria
Description: partial 16S ribosomal RNA
Rfam family: Bacterial small subunit ribosomal RNA
Source: RNAcentral
GAUGAACGCUGGCGGCGUGCCUAAUACAUGCAAGUCGAGCGAACAGACGAGGAGCUUGCUCCUCUGACGUUAGCGGCGGACGGGUGAGUAACACGUGGAUAACCUACCUAUAAGACUGGGAUAACUUCGGGAAACCGGAGCUAAUACCGGAUAAUAUAUUGAACCGCAUGGUUCAAUAGUGAAAGACGGUUUUGCUGUCACUUAUAGAUGGAUCCGCGCCGCAUUAGCUAGUUAGUAAGGUAACGGCUUACCAAGGCAACGAUGCGUAGCCGACCUGAGAGGGUGAUCGGCCACACUGGAACUGAGACACGGUCCAGACUCCUACGGGAGGCAGCAGUAGGGAAUCUUCCGCAAUGGGCGAAAGCCUGACGGAGCAACGCCGCGUGAGUGAUGAAGGUCUUCGGAUCGUAAAACUCUGUUAUUAGGGAAGAACAAAUGUGUAAGUAACUAUGCGCGUCUUGACGGUACCUAAUCAGAAAGCCACGGCUAACUACGUG